Long non-coding RNA from Xenopus laevis (African clawed frog), 571 nucleotides. RefSeq lists it as uncharacterized. The transcript has 3 exons. NCBI's taxonomy places the organism in Eukaryota, Metazoa, Chordata, Amphibia, Anura, Pipidae. The record is from RefSeq and is a predicted model, not a curated record.
AGCUGCUGCUGGAGUGUGAGGGCUGGGCCUGCAGUAAACCUGUGGCUGCUAAUUCAAGUGGACUAGACAUCUGGACAAGCUACACCCCCUGCACUCUCUGAUGUGGACUAAAAUCGUCACUAGUUGCCUAGGCCUGUGGAUUUCAAAAAGCAUUUAGGACUUCAGAUUGGGUCAGUGACCCCUAUUUUCAAGCUGGGAAGAGUCAGAAGAAGGUGGAAAAUACUUCAACAAGAAAUGGCGAAAGAUUCCCGAAACACAUUCAAGUCUACGGGCGACAUUUUUGUAGAGGCAACAUUACCAUGUGGCAAUUUUUUUGGCUCCAUUUCGAGAAACGGAGGAAUUCGCUGCAAAACCAUACAGGGUGAAAAAAUGUGCUCAUCACUAUUAAGCACUGUAGAUUUAGAUACUGUAAGUAAUGGCUUGCAUAAUAAUUCAUGACAAAACACCUGCAAUGAAUAUGAACUGAACAAAAAGCAUUAAAUAGUGAUAUUGCAGGAAUUCUGAAAUAACACCCUCAUUUUUUUUCAUAGAUUUUCCAUUUAAUUUUUUUGUCUUGGUGUAUACGCCCCUA